This is a long non-coding RNA of Gorilla gorilla gorilla (western lowland gorilla), 301 nucleotides long. RefSeq lists it as uncharacterized. The record is from RefSeq and is a predicted model, not a curated record. NCBI's taxonomy places the organism in Eukaryota, Metazoa, Chordata, Mammalia, Primates, Hominidae. The transcript has 3 exons.
UUCAGGAGGGUAGCCUGGCCAGUGGAUCACUCCUAUUGACUAGUACAGUAUUUCUUUUAUGGGAUCAUUCCUCACACAAUGAGGGAGACAGUGGCCCAGAGGUGGCCAAGCCUAUGUCCUCCAAGGGCACUGUUGCCCAGCUGCACCAAGUGGCUCUUUCGACGGAUGACUCAUUGAUAUGGCUCUUUUUGAGCCAACAGGAAAAAUCUCUCCUGAGACCAUCUAAUGAUAUGGGUAAGAACAACAGCUCAUUUCCAGGCAGACAUGUGAUUCAACUUCUGAGGUCAGAGUGGCCAAGUGC